GUUUUAUUAUCCCUGCUUUAACAGAGGGAGGACUUGAAUCUCGAGUUAAAGUAAUUUGCUCAGGAUUGUAAGGUCUUUUGUGAAGACUUUGAAGUUGCAGGUUCAUUCUGCCGCCAUAUACGUAACAUUCUAAGGGUUUCACUGGUGCCUUGAGAACCUUUGACACCUGUUUGCAGCUCGAAAGUCCAUGGAGCACCUUUAUGACCAAUAAAAGAGAAGGACCAAUGUAUAAAUAUUUUUUUCUUCUCUGAGGAUGGGCAAUUCUGAGAUGCAUUGCAUAAAGCAUCAAGUUAAUAUUUAAUCAGUUGAAGUAUAAGAUAUUGCAACUCCCACAUACCUGGCUUAAGGCAGGAUACAAAGGCAUAGAAUAGAAAUUGAAUCUGAGAACAUCCAAAAAGAUGUCAUGAGUCUCAUUGUUUUAUGGACUCUGGCCAUAAAACAAUGAGACUCGUGAAGGUAUAAAAAUCAUGAAUAAUUUUCAUAAUUCUCCUUCUCCAAGGCCCCAAAUAAAUCCUUUCACUUCCUGAAGGAACCAAUUGACUUUUUCUUUUUCUCAAGAUUGUCAAGAGAGAUUUUUAUCCUCCCAGACUUGAAUGUCUUCUGAUUAGAGAAAUAUCUGCCCAAAAAACGUCAAAAAAGGAGAAAAAGAAGAACCUAAGGAACAUGAACGUGUCAUAGAAAUUUCUCUGGGUGGUAACCCAGCCUCAAACGGACCAACUGUGUGCAAAGCUGUUCCCCAUUUUCCUAAAGGAACAAUGCUGCUCUUAAUAGUACUUAUUUUUCAGGGGGCCCAAUUUCAGAUAUGUUGGUUUUGGCAGGCUUCUGCUAAAGCUGUAUUUUUUUCCUACUGAAUUACAGUAAGAACUAAGUAUUAGAGGCUGUAAUUAAAGGUUGGUGAGGCAAAACUGGAAAUGUGCUCAAUGGGCUGCACUCAGAUCCAACUGAUCCGGAUACAUCAAAAUAUUGGUCAAAACUCCCCAUUUAUGAAUCAGCUCAGUUCUGGACUGAAGAGAAGCUUUUGAGACCCUCUGGAUGCUUUCUCCCAGGUUCUCUGUUAUGGGUUGAAUUGUCAUAGGUCUUCAUAAAGGUUAUUAAGUUAUAAUAAGGCCAAAUGGUUGAGGCCCUAAUUCAGUAUGUCUAGUAUUGCUAGACAUAAGAACAAAAGACACCAGGAUGUGCACAUACGGAGGAAGGGCCAUGUGAAGACACAGGAAGAAGCCGUCAUCUGCGAGCCAAGGAGAGAUGCCCCAAGAGGAACCAAACCUAAUGACACUAUGAUCAUGGACUUCUAGUCUUCGAACUGUGAAACAAUCAAUCUCUGUUUUUUCAGCCACCCAGUCUGUGGUAUUUUGUUCUGGCAGCCCUAGCUGACUUGGAUAGUCUCCCAUGGUGAAGGUGCCCUGUGGGCCAGGCAGAGAUUCUUGUUCCCAGAGCAUGGCACGGCCUUUCCUGUCUACUGGCUUUUGCAUGUGAUACUCAUGUCAGUAGGAUACCCUCCUUUAUUUCUUCACAUAUCCAAAUCCUACUGUCUUUCCAUGGAAAGGGAAAGCCCCUACACUACUGGUAAACUGCAACAGGGUCUCCCUAUGUUGCCCAGGCUGACCUCAAACUCCUGACCUCAAAUGAUCCUCCUGCCUGAGCCUCCCAAGAUGCUGGGAUUACAGGAAACAAAUAUACAUCAAGUUAUCAGCAAAGAUAGCAGCUGCUUGGUUUGCUUAUGAAGUUUUUGUUUUGCUUUGUUUUUGCCUUCCUUGAUAUAAUUUUUCUGCAAUAAACAUUUGUUGCUUUAAGAAAAGUAGUUCUCCUUUCCAAAAAAUAGAAAAAGAUUUUCUGUCUUUCAAGUCCAACUUUAUUCAUUACUACAUUUUUAAACAAAUAUUAUUUAGAGUCUGCUACGUAUCAGACACUCUUCUAGGUACUUGGCUACCUACGUCAGUGAGAUAAAGAUGCCACUGUAGUAUACUUUACAUUCUAACAGAGGAAUAAUAUUAUAAUAAUAAAUUACAUCAUAUGCUAGAAAGUUAUAAGUGCCAUGGAAAAAAUAAAACAAUGAACAGAAUAAAGGGAAUUGGAAAUACUGUGAUCAGGUUACAGUUUGUUUUAUUGAAUAGAGUGAUCAGAGUAAACCUCAUUGAGAAGGCAAGAUAUGGGCAAAGAAUUGAAGAAUCUAAAUGAAGAUAUGUGAACAAAGAGCAUCUCAAGCAGAAACAGUUCCAAGGUGAGAGCAUGUCUAGCCUGCUGGAGGAACAUUACGGAAGGUUUGGUUAGAGGAGCUGUAUUGUGGAAAAGUAUGAGAAGAGGAGAUCAGGGAGUUGACAGGAAGAGAAGACCACACAGGCCUUUGUAGAUCAUUGUUAGGAGUUGGUUUAACAUCAUCUCACAUUCCCAAAAGAAUCUGGCUGCUGUGAUGAGACUGGAUUGCAGAAGGGCAGGGGCAGAAGUAGGGACACAAGCGGCAAAAUCAAUGCAGCAUUCCAGGAAAGAGAUGACUGUGGCAUAGCCCAGGGGUAGCAGAGGAGGUAGUACAAAGCUGGUUAGAUUCUUGAUUUUUUCCGAACGUUUUUAAUGUAAAUUUUAAAACAUAGAGUAAAUUUCAAAAAAUUUUGCAGCAAAUAUUCAUAUAUGCAUCACUAGAUUCUCUGAUUAAAACUUGAUAUACUUGUUUUAUCACAUGUUCAUGCAUCUGUUUAUACUUCUAUCCAUCUAUCAAUGCAUAUUACUUUAAUGCUUUGCAAAGUUUCAAGCAUCAGUACACUCCCACCAAAAUACUUUUGCAUUUAUCCCAGAG
Molecule: long non-coding RNA, 2788 nt
Filed under: Homo sapiens (human)
Lineage: Eukaryota; Metazoa; Chordata; Mammalia; Primates; Hominidae
Description: HSALNT0308173
Source: RNAcentral